GACGAACGCUGGCGGCGUGCUUAACACAUGCAAGUCGAACGGAAAGGCCCUGCUUUUGUGGGGUGCUCGAGUGGCGAACGGGGGAGUAACACGUGAGUAACCUGCCCUUGACUGUGGGAUAACUUCAGGAAACUGGGGCUAAUACCGGAUAGGAGCUCCUGCUGCAUGGUGGGGGUUGGAAAGUUUCGGCGGUUGGGGAUGGACUCGCGGCUUAUCAGCUUGUUGGUGGGGUAGUGGCUUACCAAGGCUUUGACGGGUAGCCGGCCUGAGAGGGUGACCGGCCACAUUGGGACUGCGAUACGGCCCAGACUCCUACGGGAGGCAGCAGUGGGGAAUAUUGCACAAUGGGCGGAAGCCUGAUGCAGCAACGCCGCGUGCGGGAUGACGGCCUUCGGGUUGUAAACCGCUUUCGCCUGUGACGAAGCGUGAGUGACGGUAAUGGGUAAAGAAGCACCGGCUAACUACGUG
RNAcentral lists this ribosomal RNA (468 nucleotides) under uncultured bacterium. RNAcentral describes it as "partial 16S ribosomal RNA". It matches the Rfam family "Bacterial small subunit ribosomal RNA", at positions 28 to 507 of the family's 1533-position model. The record is from RNAcentral.